AGACCCCGUGAACCUUUACUAUAGCUUGACACUGAACACUGGUCCUUGAUGUGUAGGAUAGGUGGGAGGCUUUGAAGCGUGGACGCCAGUCUGCGUGGAGCCGACCUUGAAAUACCACCCUUUAAUGGCUGGUGUUCUAACGUAGACCCGUAAUCCGGGUUGCGGACAGUGUCUGGUGGGUAGUUUGACUGGGGCGGUCUCCUCCC
RNAcentral lists this ribosomal RNA (206 nucleotides) under Enterobacter hormaechei. Its description in RNAcentral is "partial 23S ribosomal RNA". It matches the Rfam family "Bacterial large subunit ribosomal RNA", at positions 2086 to 2291 of the family's 2925-position model. Lineage: Bacteria; Pseudomonadati; Pseudomonadota; Gammaproteobacteria; Enterobacterales; Enterobacteriaceae. The record is from RNAcentral.